RNAcentral lists this long non-coding RNA (1155 nucleotides) under Gadus morhua (Atlantic cod). RNAcentral's name for it is "lncRNA (ENSGMOG00000027489.1)". Lineage: Eukaryota; Metazoa; Chordata; Actinopteri; Gadiformes; Gadidae. The record is from RNAcentral.
AACAAUGAAAUAAUCUGCGACAGAGAUUAUGGAUUUAUUAUUUAUUAAGCAGGACAGUGAUUUUCAACCAGUGUGCCGUGCCGCGAGAGAUCGUCAGGUGUGCCGUGGGGAAUUUUCUAAUAUCACCUAAUUAACCAUUGUCGGGUGUCUGUGCUGUAAUAAAGUAUCGCAGAUAAUGUUCCCUAAUUUUCGGACUGUAAACCGCGCCUUUUUUCCCAUUUUUCGAUUCUGAGGCUUAUAUAACGGUGCAGCUGAUCAAUGGAUUCUUAAAGCUAACUCUUUAUAAAUCACAAAAACAACUCAUAUGAAUUGAUCCUCUUCAGUCUUACUUUGUACUUGAGGCCUUUUUCGGGAAUCUGUUGAAAAGCGGGAGCACUCGAAGGUCUCUUAAAAAAUCGCCUGACAUCCAUGGCUAAUUAAUGACAGGUAGGCAGGCAUGAUAAUCCACAACGCGUAGGGCCAUGUGUUUACAUACUUCCUGUUUACAUAUUUUCCUGGAUCCGGAUUGGUGUUGCCGCCGCAGCCGCAAGGCACUGAUUGGAGGGUCACAGACCAUAAUAGCAUAGGCCUAUAACAGCGCAGAUGAAAAUGAUUCAGAUUACAGCGUUCAUUUGUUCAACCAUAUGCAACUUUGUUUUAGGUGUUUUAAAAUGAUACCAAAUUUAUUUCCGAUUAUUCCAACGGCAGAAUACAAGGCACAGGGAACUUUGAGCGGCUCGUGGCGUGACAGCCUUUAAAUACCAGCCCAGACGACACGAGCGUCAUUCCACAGAUGAAGACAGUCGGAGACCAUCCAGAGAACUCAUUGCUUCGGUUUGAUUGGUGAGUAAAAGCAAAUCUGAACUCCGUUACUCAGAUGCCUGUGUCUGGCUAUGUUUAUAACUAGCAGUGUUAGCCUUUAGUCAACAUUAAGGCGAGUAUAAGGUGAAUAGACCCAUAGAUACAUAUAUAGAACACUAGAUGUCUCGAACGUCACCACUGGCGGCCAGCUUACCACAGUCAGCUGCUCACCCAUAACAUUGCGUUGGAAGUGGUACACUUUUUAAAUAACCAUAACUUGCUGCAUUUUUAUAAACGCCAGAGAUGUAGUUAUGACACAUUGUAUUUGUUAAUGACCCUGCAUACUUUAAUGACACUGCAAACCGUUUGUAAAUC